Molecule: non-coding RNA, 23 nt
Filed under: Arabidopsis thaliana (thale cress)
Lineage: Eukaryota; Viridiplantae; Streptophyta; Magnoliopsida; Brassicales; Brassicaceae
Source: RNAcentral
CCACUCUAAAGUAUUUCGGUGCU